RNAcentral lists this ribosomal RNA (206 nucleotides) under uncultured bacterium. RNAcentral's name for it is "partial 16S ribosomal RNA". It matches the Rfam family "Bacterial small subunit ribosomal RNA", at positions 1295 to 1500 of the family's 1533-position model. The record is from RNAcentral.
GGAUUGCAGCCUGCAACUCGGCUGCAUGAAGCUGGAAUCGCUAGUAAUCGCGAAUCAGAAUGUCGCGGUGAAUACGUUCCCGGGUCUUGUACACACCGCCCGUCACACCAUGGGAGUUGGAAAUGCCCGAAAUCAGUGACCCAACCGAAAGGAGGGAGCUGUCGAAGGUGGAGCCGGUAACUGGGGUGAAGUCGUAACAAGGUAAC